Canis lupus familiaris (dog) is the source of this 1904-nucleotide long non-coding RNA. RefSeq lists it as uncharacterized. The transcript has 4 exons. Lineage: Eukaryota; Metazoa; Chordata; Mammalia; Carnivora; Canidae. The record is from RefSeq and is a predicted model, not a curated record.
CCCAUUGUGGGGGUGCUUCCUAGCCGGACAUGCUGUCACAUGACCCCAACCUGGGUCAUCUGAGACCGCCUACAGCCUCCUCUAGCCUCUGCACCACGUAUCUCCCUGCUGCUUUGUGACAAUGUGCAUGUGAGAAUUCAUCCUUAAAAGUUAUUCCAAGGUCCUUGGAAGACACAAAGUAUGGAUAGCCAGGAGUCUGCAGACAAAGAAAAUCAAAGCAAUUCAAAAAGAACAAAGGAAAUGGAAAAGAAGGAGAAAAUAAAAGCAUAUGGAUGAAUGGAGGCUUGAAGUGGAAUACAGGGUUCACAUUUGUGGGAAGUAAAAAAAGAAGGGUCUUAUAAGAGAGGGAAAAAGUUAUGUGGCUGAAACUGCAAGCAGACAGUGGCAUUUUGUAAGACAAAAUCGACAGAAACCGUUUCUCUUUAUUUGGCUGGAAGAUUUUAAGGAUCAGUGGAGGAAACGUGUAGCCAGUACGUGGCUGAAAGAGGAACUGAAAACCCCUAUGAAUGCUCUUCUCACCUCUCCCUUUCCCAGGAGGCUGUUUUCAUUCCAUGUUCCUUGGAUUUGCGGCUGGGUUGAUGGGCUAAGUGUUUGGCCAGUUCCCAUCUUCAUUACUCCAAGCUCUGAAAGGCUGUACCUGCCCAAGCUGAGAAGGUCUGAGGGCCUGAAGAGGCCACGGGACUUGAAGAUUUCUUCCCCUUCCAUUUAAGGGCGUGCACUACUGCAGGUGGUUAUACUGAGGCAGAACAAGAGAAUGCCUUAUUCUGGCUGGGUGAACUUGGCCAGGCUACUUAAGCCGUAAAGUCCUCACUUUCUCUCUUUUGAAAAAAAUAACAGCACUUGAUUGGAUUGAAGUAGUUAAAGGUAUCCGCCCAAAUCUUAAAAUAAUCUGAUGCAUUAUUUAUUAACGUCUUUACAUGCACAUGGCUGUGCUAAAUGUUAGUUUAAGAAUUUAGGAUUCUCAUAGACAAGGCCCAUAUCUUGAGGAAGGAAGAUCAACGGUCCCUAGCACUGUGUCCGGCACACUCCCUUUUGUAAAAGUAAAUUUUUAAAAACUGAGAUGAAAUUCACAUAACAGAAUUAACCAUUUUAAAAUGUAGAAUUCGGUGGCAUUUAGUACUUCCACUCACACUGUCUUCUUAAAGUGUUAGAAUAACACAGUCGGUUGGCUUGGUUCCAUUUUGUUGUAAUAACAAAAUGCUGCACUGCACCUCCACGCGUCCCUUCUUGUGAGCCUGCACUCGAGAAAUUCUCUAGGUCUGAGUCGCAAAGAAUCUACUGGGUCAUAGGAUCUACAAAUGCAUUUUCAGUUCGGCGUAUAUUGCUAAACUGUUCUGUGAAAUGGCCACCAUUUGCAUUUCCAUGGCAGCGGCUGAAGUUCCCACUUCUGUGUCUCCUGACCACCAUGGGGCUGGAUGUAGGGGAGACCAAAGAGUGGUGAAGUCCUGAACUAGCUCUAUCAGCAUCAGCAUGGAGAGAUCCCGAGAACAUCAUGAUCAUUUCUUUUAGGGCAUCAAGAAACCCUUCAUCAAUGCAAAUACACAGAUCUCUAAAGCUUCCUGAAGCCCAUUCAUUCACUCCUCUGCUAGGAGACCCGUUUACCUGGGCAGUACCAGUAAAUCUGUGAUCAAGUCUGGCAGGGGCUAGAAGAAAAGGCCUGUUAAGCUACAAUAAGGAGCUGUUUUGGCAAACGAGCAACUUUGUAAGGAGCCUCGAGAUAUCAUAGGCUCCUUGUGUGUACCAGUCUGAGAAGCUGUGCUACCUGUUCUAAUGGACUGGGGGGCCAGAAGGAAAAUGAAGCAAAUGUCAAGAGCCAAUGUGAUUUUGGAGCACCUGGAUGGCUCAGUUGGUUAAGCACCCGACUCCUGAUUUUGGCUCAGGUCAUGAUGUCAGGGUCACAAGAU